This 4144-nucleotide long non-coding RNA is filed under the name Homo sapiens (human). Its description in RNAcentral is "HSALNT0233540". Lineage: Eukaryota; Metazoa; Chordata; Mammalia; Primates; Hominidae. The record is from RNAcentral.
CUCUCCUUCAAGCUCCUCUACUGCACCCUCUAGAAUACCUUUCCCAAAGGUAAACACCCACCCCUUUGCUGACAUCCUCUCUACCCUCUGUCCCAAUGGCAACACAGCUCUCCUGGGGAACUGCUGCUGCCAAAUGGCCAGCCCCAUCCCAUUGACCUCACUGUCAACCUCCUGGCUUCUGACCCGUGACCACUCGGUUAUACUUGAAAACUGUCCUGCUCCUUGGUGGCUUAGGCUAGCACAUGUUAAGCCACAGGUAGACCUCUGUCUGUAUUCAGGUUCAGAGCCCAGCUAUUCCUCUCUCAACCUUCAACUUCACCUCCUUUCUUCCCUCAUUCUAAGCAGAUAACCUGGCUCAUCUCAUUCCCUGAAACCCUUCCUAUAGACCCACUUACAUCUGCAACCAUCUCUUCCUUCUUUUAUCCACUGGAAAGUUAAUCUCCCCCAAGGGCCCUGGAUCCCACUUCCUCCUCUCUUCUCUUGACCCUAGCUCCAUCAACUGCUGUCUCUCUUUCCUGUACCUGCAAUGUUUCCCUCCGUUUUUGCUCCUUUUCCUCAGCAAUUUUUUUUUUUUUGAGACGGAGUCUCGCUCUGUCGCCCAGUUGGGAGUGCAGCGGUGUGAUCUCGGCUCACUGCAACCUCUACAUUCCAGGUUCAAGCAAUUCUCCUGCCUCGGCCUCCUGAACAGCUGGCACUAUAAGUACGCGCCACCACGCCCAGCUACUUUUUGUAUUUUUAGUAGAGAUAGGGUUUCGCCAUGUUAAUUAGGCUGGUUUUGAACUCCUCACCUCGGGUGAUCCACUGGCCUUGGCCUCCCAAAGUGCUGGGAUUACAGGUGUAAGCCACCACACCCACCUUAAUGACUUUCUGAUGCCCUCAGGAAAAAGGCAAAACUCUUUUCAUAUCAAGUGCAAGAUCCUUCACAGUCUGGUUCUUAUCUGUGGUCUCAUUUCUCCUUUCCUCACACUCUGACCAAGCCAGACUGAACAACCUGUAAUUCGUCAAACAUAUCAGGUGAGGUGUGAAUGUUCUAUUCGGCUCCAGGUUCUGUGCAUGCUGUUCCCUCCUGGCAGGUUCCUGCCACCCCUCCCGCAAAUACAGGUAAUCUCCUCAGGUCACAGCCUCUUUGACAUCUUAUCUGACAAUCUCCCCCUCCUUCUCCAACACUUGGUUAGGUGGCUUUUCUAUGUUCUCCUAUAACACACUACACUUCUCCCAGCACAGAACUUACCACACUGCACAAUGGUCUGUUUGCCAAUCAGAGAAGCAACAUGCCAGCAUGGCAGGGAAUCCAGGCUUUGGGGGCGGACAGUUCUGGGUUUGAAAAUAUCCCCACCUCUCACUAGCUGUAUGACUAUCAGCAAGUUACUAAAUCUCUAGGCUUUGAACUCCUCAUCUGUAACACGGGCUAGAAACACCUACCUCACAUGGUUGCUGCAAAGACUAAAUCAGACAAGGCAGGAAGAACAUGGUACAAGCACCUAAGAAGCACUCAGUAAGUGGUAGUUAUUUUUUAUUAUUUUUUGAGACGAGGUCUGUCAUGCAGGCUGGAGUACAGCGGCAUGAUCAUGGCUCACUGCAGUCUCAACCACCCAGACUCAAGCGAUCCUCCCACCUCAGCCUCCAGAGUAGCUGGGACCACAGAUGUGUACCAUCACACUCAGCUAAUUUUAAAAUUAUGAAUAUUUGUAGAGGUGAGGUCUCACUACGUUGCCCAGGAUGGUCUCGAGCUCCUGACCUCAAGUGAUCUGCCCACAUUGGCCUCCCAAAGUGCUGGAAUUACAGGCUAAGCCACCACACCCGGCCUAUUAUUUCCCUAUUAUAAUGGAACUAAGAGCAGAAACCUUAUAAAUUGCUCAAUUUUCCCAGCGUUCAGCAUAGGUACCUAGGAAAUAUAUGUUGAUGCAUGAAUGAGAACAGAGAACAAAGAAGAUGGGGGGAAAAAAUCAAAGGUAGGACCCCCAGAUUUGAGGAGAUAUCUAAAUACCUGAGAGAAUUAUUUUUAUUUUUAUUUAUUGUGAAACAGAGUCUCACUCUGUCGCCCAGGCUGAAGUGCAGAGGCGUGAUCUCAGCUCACUGCAACCUCUGCCUUCCAGGUUCAAGUGUUUCUCCCGCCUCAGCCUCCCGAGUAGCUGGGAUUACAGGCGCACGCCACUGUGCCCGACUAAUUUUUUGUAUUUUUAGUAGAGAUGGAGUUUCACCAUGUUGGCCAGGCUGGUCUCGAACUCCUGACCUCAGGUGAUCCACCCACCUUGGCCUCCCAAAGUGCUGGGAUUACAGGCAUGAGCCACUGUGACCGGCCAAUAAUUUUUAAAGCUAAUAUUUUUAUAAGUAGUUACAAUGCACCAGAUACUGCCUAUGUAUAUAACUAAUUUAAUCCUCACAACCUUAUGAGGUAGAUACUAGCAUUUCUAUUCUACACUUGAGGAAACAGGCACAGAUAAGUGGAAGUGACUCACCCAAGGUCCUACCAAACUGUUGAGUAGCAGAACCCUGCCAAUUUGGCAUUAGUGGCCGGCUAUUUAAUCAUGACUCCACGCUACCUUUCAAAUAAAAGCAGAUGGUAAGGAAAGGACAGCUGUGAGGACUGAACCAUUAAGCACAUUCCCCUAACAGAGAAAGGGAAUUGCAAAGGUGGCAGAACAAACACAGUAACAGAUGAGUUUUAAGGAGGAAUUAAAAAAAAACUUUAGGCCGGGCGCCAUGUCUCACGCCUGUAAUCUCAGCACUUUGGGAGGCCGAGGCGGGUAGAUCAUUUGAGGUCGGAAAUUGGAGACCAGCCUGGCAAACAUGGUGAAACUCCGUCUCUACCAAAGAUACAAAAAAUUAGCUGGGUGUGGUGGCACGCACCUGUGGUCCCAGGUACUCAUGGUGCGGCCACCAUUGCAUCUUGGGCCUCACUAACCAGUUCCCGUUUGUUGGAUUCAAUACUGUCUCACCACACAGGCCAAUCUUGUGUUUUAUUAAUUUUUUAAAUUUUUUUUUUUUUUUUUGUAGAGAUGGGCUCACUAUGUUGCCCAGGCUGGUCCUGAACUCCUGAGGUAGGAGGAUCGCUUGAGCCUGGGAGACAGAGGUUGCAGUGAGCCGAGAUUAUGCUACUGCACUCCUGCCUGGGUGACACAGUGAGACUCUGUCUUAAACAAAACAAAACAAAAAAAGGCCAGGCGCAGGGGCUCACACCUGUAAUCCUAGCACUUUGGGAGGCCAAGGUGGGUGGAUCAUUUGAGGUCAGGAGUUUGAGACCAGCCUGAUCAGCAUGGUGAAACCCCGUCUCUACUAAAAACAGAAAAAUUAGCCAGGUGUCGUGGCUUGCACCUGUAGUCCCAGCUACUCAGGAGGCUGAGACAGGAAAAUUGCUUCAACCAGGGAGAUGGAGGCUGCAGUGCGCAGAGUCGCGCCACUGCCUGGGUGACACAGUGAGACUCCAUCUCAAAAAAGCCCAGGGUGCUUGGCGCCAAAAAAGGGAUCUCUGACCUUGUGUUCAUUAUGACCUUCAAAAGAGUGAAGUGGUGAGGGCAUGAGGGCAGAGGAAAAGAAGGGCUUAAGACAACGAAGGAAAAGAAGGCACCAGAGUCUAGUGCCUUUGCCGCCAAACCUAAGCCUAUAAGGUUGGCAGCAAAACCAAAGCACAAACUGAUAGCAAAGGAGGUAAAGCCAGGGGAGAAGAAACUGAAGACGUCAAAGACAGAAAUGAAGCACAUCAUCUGGUUUAAAACAAAUGAUAGAGUUUUUACAGUUCUGGAAAAUGACCGUAUAAUAUUCUCUGCUAAGAAGAAUAACUUCUGCUAAACAACCAUAAGACUGCAGCUGGCUCUACUCAGAUCUGCUUAUUCCAACAAGACCAAGGUGCUAGUUCUAACUUCGAGUAGUCCCUCUGUAUGGCUGCAGCGUUGCGCACAGUGGACUGCCGGUCACAAGGAAGACUGGAUGAGCGUGGGUUCACACAUUUCCCACACUUGCCUCAGCAAAAGAACCACCUGGGACACUUGUUUAAAAAUGACAGAUUCCCACGGUCCACCUCGGCAGAUUCUGAUCCUGCCACGCCAGGGAGCUGUAUUUUUCAACAAGUACACCAGGUGAUCACGCAAGUUUAAGAAAUUAGCACAAGUUGGCCGGGCGCAGUGGCUCACGCCUGUAAUCCCAG